Molecule: ribosomal RNA, 1978 nt
Filed under: human gut metagenome
Description: bacterial LSU rRNA
Rfam family: Bacterial large subunit ribosomal RNA
Source: RNAcentral
GGUAUUGCACUUACCGAAGACUAUCAAACUCCGAAUGCCGUAUUCUUUUGCUUGGGAGUCAGACUAUGGGUGAUAAGAUUCAUAGUCAAGAGGGCAACAGCCCAGAUCGUCAGCUAAGGUCCCUAAAUGUAAGUUAAGUGGUAAAGGAUGUGGAAUUGCACAGACAACCAGGAUGUUGGCUUAGAAGCAGCCACUCAUUUAAAGAGUGCGUAAUAGCUCACUGGUCGAGUGAUUCUGCGCCGAAAAUUUCCGGGGCUAAAACUUACUACCGAAGCUACGGCAUCAUUAUGAUGGGUAGGGGAGCUUUCUAUGCGGCUUGAAGCAUGACCGUAAGGACAUGUGGACUGCAUAGAAGUGAGAAUGUUGGCAUGAGUAGCGAGAUGUGGGUGAGAAUCCCACAGGCCGUAAACCCAAGGUUUCCAGGGGAAGGUUCGUCCGCCCUGGGUUAGUCAGGACCUAAGCCGAGGCCGAAAGGCGUAGGUGAUGGACAACAGGUUGAUAUUCCUGUACCACCAAUAACCGUUUGAGAAAUGGGAUGACACAGUAGGAUAAGCUAACCGCACUGUUGGUUAUGUGCGGGCAAGUAUUGAGGCAGUUCCGAUAGGCAAAUCCGUCGGAAUAAUGCUGGGGUACGAUGCGGAGCGAAAUUUAGUAGCGAAGUAGCUGAUUUCACACUGUCGAGAAAAGUCUCUAUCGAGGUUAAAGGUGCCUGUACCGCAAACCGACACAGGUGGGUGAGGAGAGUAUCCUAAGGCCAGCGAGAGAACUGUUGUUAAGGAACUCGGCAAAAUGACCCCGUAACUUAGGGAGAAGGGGUGCCUUCGAAAGAAGGCCGCAGAGAAUAGGCCCAAGCGACUGUUUACCAAAAACAUAGGUUUCUGCUAAGUCGCAAGACGAUGUAUAGGAGCUGACGCCUGCCCGGUGCUGGAAGGUUAAGGGGAUCUGUUAGAGCAAUCGAAGCAGUGAACUUAAGCCCCAGUAAACGGCGGCCGUAACUAUAACGGUCCUAAGGUAGCGAAAUUCCUUGUCGGGUAAGUUCCGACCCGCACGAAAGGCGUAACGAUUUGGGCACUGUCUCAACAACAGACUCGGUGAAAUUGUAAUACCGGUGAAGAUGCCGGUUACCUGCGACAGGACGGAAAGACCCCAUGGAGCUUUACUGUAGCUUGACAUUGAGUCUCGGUGCUACAUGUACAGGAUAGGUGGGAGACUAUGAAGCAUGGACGUCAGUCUGUGUGGAGUCAUCCUUGGGAUACCACCCUUGUAGUACUGGGAUUCUAACCAGAGGCCAUGAAUCUGGUCUUGGGACACUGUCAGGUGGACAGUUUGACUGGGGCGGUCGCCUCCCAAAAAGUAACGGAGGCGCUCAAAGGUUCUCUCAGUACGGUCGGAAAUCGUACGAAGAGUGUAAAGGCAAAAGAGAGCUUGAUUGCAAGACAUACAGGUCGAGCAAGGACGAAAGUCGGACUUAGUGAUCCGGUGGUUCCGCAUGGAAGGGCCAUCGCUCAACGGAUAAAAGCUACCCUGGGGAUAACAGGCUGAUCUCCCCCAAGAGUCCACAUCGACGGGGAGGUUUGGCACCUCGAUGUCGGCUCAUCACAUCCUGGGGCUGUAGUAGGUCCCAAGGGUUGGGCUGUUCGCCCAUUAAAGUGGUACGCGAGCUGGGUUCAGAACGUCGUGAGACAGUUCGGUCCCUAUCCGUCGCAGGCGUAGGAAAUUUGAGGAGACCUGUCCUUAGUACGAGAGGACCGGGAUGGACGUACCGCUGGUGUACCAGUUGUUCUGCCAAGGGCAUGGCUGGGUAGCUAAGUACGGAAAGGAUAAGCGCUGAAAGCAUCUAAGCGCGAAGCCCACUUCAAGAUAAGAUUUCCCACCGCAAGGUUAAGAUCCCAGGAAGACUACCUGGUUGAUAGGUCAGAGGUGUAAGUGCAGUAAUGUAUUUAGCUUACUGAUACUAAUAGAUCGAGGACUUGACCAA